AUUGAACGCUGGCGGCAGGCCUAACACAUGCAAGUCGAGCGGAUGAAGGGAGCUUGCUCCUGGAUUCAGCGGCGGACGGGUGAGUAAUGCCUAGGAAUCUGCCUGGUAGUGGGGGAUAACGUCCGGAAACGGGCGCUAAUACCGCAUACGUCCUGAGGGAGAAAGUGGGGGAUCUUCGGACCUCACGCUCUCAGAUGAGCCUAGGUCGGAUUAGCUAGUUGGUGGGGUAAAGGCCUACCAAGGCGACGAUCCGUAACUGGUCUGAGAGGAUGAUCAGUCACACUGGAACUGAGACACGGUCCAGGCUCCUACGGGAGGCAGCAGUGGGGAAUAUUGGACAAUGGGCGAAAGCCUGAUCCAGCCAUGCCGCGUGUGUGAAGAAGGUCUUCGGAUUGUAAAGCACUUUAAGUUGGGAGGAAGGGCAGUAAGUUAAUACCUUGCUGUUUUGACGUUACCAACAGAAUAAGCACCGGCUAACUUCGUG
This 484-nucleotide ribosomal RNA is filed under the name uncultured bacterium. RNAcentral describes it as "partial 16S ribosomal RNA". It matches the Rfam family "Bacterial small subunit ribosomal RNA", at positions 30 to 507 of the family's 1533-position model. The record is from RNAcentral.